RNAcentral lists this ribosomal RNA (826 nucleotides) under Staphylococcus aureus. RNAcentral describes it as "partial 23S ribosomal RNA". It matches the Rfam family "Bacterial large subunit ribosomal RNA", at positions 339 to 1167 of the family's 2925-position model. Lineage: Bacteria; Bacillati; Bacillota; Bacilli; Caryophanales; Staphylococcaceae. The record is from RNAcentral.
CAUCUGGAAAGAUGAAUCAAAGAAGGUAAUAAUCCUGUAGUCGAAAAUGUUGUCUCUCUUGAGUGGAUCCUGAGUACGACGGAGCACGUGAAAUUCCGUCGGAAUCUGGGAGGACCAUCUCCUAAGGCUAAAUACUCUCUAGUGACCGAUAGUGAACCAGUACCGUGAGGGAAAGGUGAAAAGCACCCCGGAAGGGGAGUGAAAUAGAACCUGAAACCGUGUGCUUACAAGUAGUCAGAGCCCGUUAAUGGGUGAUGGCGUGCCUUUUGUAGAAUGAACCGGCGAGUUACGAUUUGAUGCAAGGUUAAGCAGUAAAUGUGGAGCCGUAGCGAAAGCGAGUCUGAAUAGGGCGUUUAGUAUUUGGUCGUAGACCCGAAACCAGGUGAUCUACCCUUGGUCAGGUUGAAGUUCAGGUAACACUGAAUGGAGGACCGAACCGACUUACGUUGAAAAGUGAGCGGAUGAACUGAGGGUAGCGGAGAAAUUCCAAUCGAACCUGGAGAUAGCUGGUUCUCUCCGAAAUAGCUUUAGGGCUAGCCUCAAGUGAUGAUUAUUGGAGGUAGAGCACUGUUUGGACGAGGGGCCCCUCUCGGGUUACCGAAUUCAGACAAACUCCGAAUGCCAAUUAAUUUAACUUGGGAGUCAGAACAUGGGUGAUAAGGUCCGUGUUCGAAAGGGAAACAGCCCAGACCACCAGCUAAGGUCCCAAAAUAUAUGUUAAGUGGAAAAGGAUGUGGCGUUGCCCAGACAACUAGGAUGUUGGCUUAGAAGCAGCCAUCAUUUAAAGAGUGCGUAAUAGCUCACUAGUCGAGUGACACUGCGCCGA